CAGUAGCGUAUAUUAAAGUUGUUGCAGUUAAAAAGCUCGUAGUUGGAUUUCUGGGUGGAUGAGACUGGCCCGCCACCUCUCGGUGCGUGUGUUGCCGGGUUUUCAUCGCCCAUCCUUCCGGAGAGGCAAGAGGUGCCCUUCAUUGGGUUGCUGAUUGUUGAUUCGGAUCCUUUACUGUGAACAAAUUAGAGUGUUCAAAGCAGGCUUACGCUGUGAAUACAUUAGCAUGGAAUAAUAAGAUAGGACUUUUGUCUUAUUUUGUUGGUUUAUAACGAUGAAAGUAAUGAUUGAUAGGGAUAGUUGGGGGUGCUAGUAUUCAACGGCCAGAGGUGAAAUUCUUGGAUUCGUUGAAGACUAACUUAUGCGAAAGCAUUCACCAAGGAUGCCUNCUUUAA
Molecule: ribosomal RNA, 395 nt
Filed under: uncultured eukaryote
Lineage: Eukaryota
Description: partial 18S ribosomal RNA
Rfam family: Eukaryotic small subunit ribosomal RNA
Source: RNAcentral